RNAcentral lists this ribosomal RNA (439 nucleotides) under Phaeosphaeria sp. RNAcentral describes it as "eukaryotic LSU rRNA". The stretch from base 81 to 234 matches the Rfam family "5.8S ribosomal RNA". Lineage: Eukaryota; Fungi; Ascomycota; Dothideomycetes; Pleosporales; Phaeosphaeriaceae. The record is from RNAcentral.
CUCGGCAGGCUUGAUGGGCGGAUGAACAAUUCUAUAAGCUUUUUAAUUUUAGUCAGCGUCUGAAAAAACUUAAAAAUUACAACUUUCAACAACGGAUCUCUUGGUUCUGGCAUCGAUGAAGAACGCAGCGAAAUGCGAUAAGUAGUGUGAAUUGCAGAAUUCAGUGAAUCAUCGAAUCUUUGAACGCACAUUGCGCCCCUUGGUAUUCCAUGGGGCAUGCCUGUUCGAGCGUCAUUUGUACCUUCAAGCUUUGCUUGGUGUUGGGUGUUUGUCCUCUCCCUGGUGUUUGGACUCGCCUUAAACAAUUGGCAGCCAGUGUUUUGGUAUUGAAGCGCAGCAAAGUCGCGAUUCUGACCUAGCAACACUUGCAUCCACAAGUCUUUUAACUUUGACCUCGGAUCAGGAGGGAUCCCGCUGACUCAGCAUAUCAUAGCCGGAG